CCUGCGUGGACUGGCCUCGCGCGCGAGACUCGGUCCAGCGCGCGAGCGGGACCAAAUCGCGCGGCGACCAUGAGUGAAUCGCGCCCGCGUUCACCUGCGCCGACUACUCGUCGAUGAUGAGAGAGCAGCAACGUGCGUGCCAAGGAGUAACGCGAUCCCCCGUCUCGCGUCGCCGCCGCGCGGCGGCCACCGACGGUGAACACCACGAGUGAUUCGUUCGACUCGACCGAUCCGAGUGAAGUGUCGCGAUAUACGAGAGCGAGAGAGAAAGCAAGAAGAGAGAGAGAGAGAGAGAGAGAGAGAUCGACGAGUGUUUCAGAGCUAUCAGGAAGAGGAGCGGAGAAGGACAGAGCACUCUCUCCCGUGCGCUCGCCGCGCAUACAGCCAGGCGGACGAGCGGAGGUCCAAAGUGUCCGCGAGGGAGAUUAGUAGUAUAAACAGCGCGAGUGUACCGCGCGGACAGUAGUGAAGGACAAUCGCGCGAGCGGACAAGUAGUGACAGACCGUAAGACGGUAAGGGCGAGAGUAGCAGUGGAGAGAGAGAGAGAGAGAGAGAGAGAGAGAGCCGGACACACGACGCGCGCCGCAGUAGUUGCGGACGUCGCGCGCGCGGACUUGCCGCGUAGCGGAGCGCAUUGUGCCCGGAGCGUGACCGGAUCAAGAAGACCCGCCGACGCCGACGGCGAGGGCUCUCGUUCGACAAGGGAGCUCGGUGGAUCAGCUGGUAGCGCGCGAUCCAGCGAGAUAACACACGCCGACGCGCUUCAUCCUACAGCUACGUGUGGCAUGUGUAGCCGCGACAACGGCGACGAACAUGCGAGCACGCUUAACCCACGCACGUACGCGUAAUCGUCGCGGCUCGCCACCGAGGAGGAUUCAAUUAAAUCUCCCGCGAGGAAGGUCAAGUACUCCGCGCAGCACCAGCAUCAGCGACGCGGGGGGGCCCGAGCUUUAAUUAAAACGCCCGCGGGAUUCCCAUUAUCGCGCGCGCUCGCGCGCCUCGUAUUCGGGAUUAAUUAGCCGCGUCGGAAACGAGAGCGCCGGCCAGGUCGUUGACGGAGGCGAAAAGGGUGAUAUAGGAGGACGUGAUUGCCGGUGGCGUGGCAAGCCUCGUGUGUCGUGCUCGUAAUAACGCGUCGGGCGUGCGCGCGAGACAAAGAGAGAGAGAGAGAGAGAGAGAGAGAGAGAGAGUUUUGUACGAGCAGUGUCGCGAGCUCCUCGAGCCCCCGACGGAGCCCUCCUCUUCGUCGUCAUGGAUCAUCUGUUUGUUAUUCUCGUUCUUUGGUCGCGCUGGCUCGCGUAGCCGCGCGCGCAACGACUGCGACGGUUAAUUUGCGGCCGUCACGAAUGCUUCUUCCUCGCGAGUGACAGUUUGUGCAGUUGCGUGAGGAAAUAAGUCGUCGUUUCGAGGCAAGAGAGAGAGAGAGAGAGAGAGAGACAGGCAAGUUAAGAAGGGUCUUAUAAACGUCUUACGGUCGACGUGCCGCCGAUGACAAUGUCGAAGUAGGACUCUCUCGGCGAACCGCGACAGCUCGUUCUAACGCACGGAAGACACGUAUUAUUAUGUGAGGAGGAGGCCGCGACGAGGGAAACGAAGAUGUCCGCCGUCAGCGUCGUCGCAUGGUUGCUCGGCGCCGUCGCUUUGGCAGCGAUCAACAAUGGUGAGUAGCCAGAAUUAGCGAAUACGUGUGUAUUUCCACGCAGACUCGCGCGCCCGUCCUUCGGACGAUCGGCGCGCGAUCAUGGCGAAUAUUCGCGCCCACGCACUGCGUCAGACAGGCUCGCGGUACGUAUUUGCGAUAGUUAUUAACCGUCCCUCGCAUAGCCGUGGUAGUUCUAAUUGGCAUAAUUACCGUCUGCCACACGGAGUGUGUCAAAUGGCUGGCAACGUGGCUGCCAGCAGGUGUCAAUAAUGGCGACGCGCCGGCCGCGUUUGCAGAUCGCGCGUUAUUGAGUCACCGCGUCGUAAGUAAGGCAAACAACGCGAGCCGAGCUCGCGAUUUGCGCGGUUAAUCAGGUCAGCGGGAUCCUCCUUUGUUGCGAAAACCUCGCGGGCAGGGCCGGGCGAGCAAAGCGCGCAAUGUGAUACGGAAACGAUAUAUCGACAGUUACCGAAGCCGUUUCGAACAAAUGUUAUCGAGCAAAUGUAGCUUUUAUUCACACACACACACACACACACACACACAUACAUAUACACUUACAGUGAAACACAUUACGUAAGUUGAUACCUCCUGAAAUGAUUCCACCGCAAACGGGUGAAACGAUCAACUUUUCGCGACUCAGCGACGAAUUGCCGCGCGACCUUCCACGCCGCGCCUGCCUGAAAUAUCCGCUGUAUUAAUCAAGAGAGGGAAGCCGACCUCGCGCGACGCGGCCGAGUCGUCGAUGUAUCCGCGGGAUCGUACUCGAAGUGUACUCUCACGUGAGAGAGAGAGAGAGA
Long non-coding RNA from Harpegnathos saltator (Jerdon's jumping ant), 2440 nucleotides. RefSeq lists it as uncharacterized. NCBI's taxonomy places the organism in Eukaryota, Metazoa, Arthropoda, Insecta, Hymenoptera, Formicidae. The transcript is spliced from 3 exons. The record is from RefSeq and is a predicted model, not a curated record.